GAUGAACGCUAGCUACAGGCUUAACACAUGCAAGUCGCGGGGCAGCAUGGGGGUUGCUUGCAAUCCCCGAUGGCGACCGGCGCACGGGUGAGUAACGCGUAUUCAACCUGCCCUUCACCACGGGAUAACCCGGCGAAAGUCGGACUAAUACCGUAUGUUGUCCAUUGACGGCAUCCGAUUUGGACGAAAGGCUUGGCGGUGAGGGAUGGGGAUGCGUCCGAUUAGCCAGACGGCGGGGUAACGGCCCACCGUGGCUACGAUCGGUAGGGGUUCUGAGAGGAAGGUCCCCCACACUGGAACUGAGACACGGUCCAGACUCCUACGGGAGGCAGCAGUGAGGAAUAGUGGUCAAUGGGCGUAAGCCUGAACCAGCCAAGUAGCGUGCAGGAUGACGGCCCUAUGGGUUGUAAACUGCUUUUAUGCGGGGAUAAAGUGGCCCACGGGUGGGCUUUUGCAGGUACCGCAUGAAUAAGGACCGGCUAAUUCCGUG
This 490-nucleotide ribosomal RNA is filed under the name uncultured bacterium. Its description in RNAcentral is "partial 16S ribosomal RNA". It matches the Rfam family "Bacterial small subunit ribosomal RNA", at positions 28 to 507 of the family's 1533-position model. The record is from RNAcentral.